CCAGCGACGCCGCGUGGGUGAAGAAGGCCUGCGGGUUGUAAAGCCCUUUCGGUGGGGAAGAAAAGCCUCGAGCUAAUACCUCGGGGUCUUGACGUAACCCAUAGAAGAAGCACCGGCUAACUCUGUGCCAGCAGCCGCGGUAAUACAGAGGGUGCGAGCGUUAAUCGGAAUUACUGGGCGUAAAGCGCGCGUAGGCGGCUUUGCAAGUCGGGUGUGAAAUCCCCAGGCUUAACCUGGGAACUGCAUUCGAGACUGCAUUGCUAGAGUAUGGGAGAGGGAAGUUGAAUUUCCGUUGGUGCGGUGAAAUGGGUAGAUAUUGGAAGGAACAUCAGUGGGGAAAGCGACUUCCUGGACCAAUAAUGACGCUCAUGUGCGAAAGCGUGGGGAGCAAACAGGAUUAGAUACCCUGGUAGUUCACGC
This 420-nucleotide ribosomal RNA is filed under the name uncultured Steroidobacter sp. RNAcentral's name for it is "bacterial SSU rRNA". It matches the Rfam family "Bacterial small subunit ribosomal RNA", at positions 388 to 800 of the family's 1533-position model. The record is from RNAcentral. Lineage: Bacteria; Pseudomonadati; Pseudomonadota; Gammaproteobacteria; Steroidobacterales; Steroidobacteraceae.